GAUGAACGCUGGCGGCGUGCCUAAUACAUGCAAGUCGAGCGAACAGAUAAGGAGCUUGCUCCUUUGACGUUAGCGGCGGACGGGUGAGUAACACGUGGAUAACCUACCUAUAAGACUGGGAUAACUUCGGGAGACAGGAGAUAAUACCAGAUAACAUAUUCAACGGCAGGGAUCAAUAGUGAAAGGCGGCUUUGCCGUCAGAUAGAGAUGGUUCCGCGUCGGAUUAGCUAGUUGGUAAGGUAACGGCUUACCAAGGCGACGAUCCGUAGCCGACCUGAGAGGAUGAUCGGCCACACUGGAACUGAGACACGGUCCAGACUCCUACGGGAGGCAGCAGUGGGGAAUCUUCCGCAAUGGGCGCAAGCCUGACGCAGCCAUACCGCGUGAGUGAAGAAGGCCUUCGGGUUGUAAAGCCCUUUUAUUAGGGAAGAAAAAAUGUAGAAGUAACUGUGGACAUCUUGACGGUACCUGAUCAGAAAGCAACGGCUAACUACGUG
RNAcentral lists this ribosomal RNA (497 nucleotides) under uncultured bacterium. RNAcentral's name for it is "partial 16S ribosomal RNA". It matches the Rfam family "Bacterial small subunit ribosomal RNA", at positions 28 to 507 of the family's 1533-position model. The record is from RNAcentral.